Molecule: small RNA, 127 nt
Filed under: Marmota monax (woodchuck)
Lineage: Eukaryota; Metazoa; Chordata; Mammalia; Rodentia; Sciuridae
Source: RNAcentral
GCCAGGUAUGGUGGUUCACACCUAUAAUCCCAGCAGCUUGGGAGGCUGAGGCAGGAGGAUUGCAAGUUCAAAGCCAGCCUCAGCAACUUAGUGAGGUCAUGAGCAACUUAGCAAGACCCUGUCUCUA